GUGUUGGCAAGGUCCAAGCCAUCUGAUCUGAUUCAAAUGUUUCAAUCUCAAGCGUCCAUUGUGAUUAUCAAGCCUGCAGUGCAUUGACUAAGGACCAUUGUGGAACGCACGCGCUUGGCCAUCAGAUCUGCCACCUCAAUUAAUGAGGAAGAUCUGAUGACCCUUGUUUUUUUGAAUUUUAUUUUAUUUUCUUAUUUUU
This 199-nucleotide long non-coding RNA is filed under the name Lathyrus oleraceus (garden pea). RNAcentral describes it as "Pisum sativum (pea) long non-coding RNA (PSAT_LNC037567)". Lineage: Eukaryota; Viridiplantae; Streptophyta; Magnoliopsida; Fabales; Fabaceae. The record is from RNAcentral.